This 1057-nucleotide ribosomal RNA is filed under the name Bacillus sp. UNSW 1. Its description in RNAcentral is "bacterial SSU rRNA". It matches the Rfam family "Bacterial small subunit ribosomal RNA", at positions 77 to 1118 of the family's 1533-position model. The record is from RNAcentral. Lineage: Bacteria; Bacillati; Bacillota; Bacilli; Caryophanales; Bacillaceae.
AGCUUGCUCCCGGAUGUUAGCGGCGGACGGGUGAGUAACACGUGGGUAACCUGCCUGUAAGACUGGGAUAACUCCGGGAAACCGGAGCUAAUACCGGAUAGUUCCUUGAACCGCAUGGUUCAAGGAUGAAAGACGGUUUCGGCUGUCACUUACAGAUGGACCCGCGGCGCAUUAGCUAGUUGGUGGGGUAAUGGCUCACCAAGGCGACGAUGCGUAGCCGACCUGAGAGGGUGAUCGGCCACACUGGGACUGAGACACGGCCCAGACUCCUACGGGAGGCAGCAGUAGGGAAUCUUCCGCAAUGGACGAAAGUCUGACGGAGCAACGCCGCGUGAGUGAUGAAGGUUUUCGGAUCGUAAAGCUCUGUUGUUAGGGAAGAACAAGUGCGAGAGUAACUGCUCGCACCUUGACGGUACCUAACCAGAAAGCCACGGCUAACUACGUGCCAGCAGCCGCGGUAAUACGUAGGUGGCAAGCGUUGUCCGGAAUUAUUGGGCGUAAAGGGCUCGCAGGCGGUUUCUUAAGUCUGAUGUGAAAGCCCCCGGCUCAACCGGGGAGGGUCAUUGGAAACUGGGAAACUUGAGUGCAGAAGAGGAGAGUGGAAUUCCACGUGUAGCGGUGAAAUGCGUAGAGAUGUGGAGGAACACCAGUGGCGAAGGCGACUCUCUGGUCUGUAACUGACGCUGAGGAGCGAAAGCGUGGGGAGCGAACAGGAUUAGAUACCCUGGUAGUCCACGCCGUAAACGAUGAGUGCUAAGUGUUAGGGGGUUUCCGCCCCUUAGUGCUGCAGCUAACGCAUUAAGCACUCCGCCUGGGGAGUACGGUCGCAAGACUGAAACUCAAAGGAAUUGACGGGGGCCCGCACAAGCGGUGGAGCAUGUGGUUUAAUUCGAAGCAACGCGAAGAACCUUACCAGGUCUUGACAUCCUCUGACAACCCUAGAGAUAGGGCUUUCCCUUCGGGGACAGAGUGACAGGUGGUGCAUGGUUGUCGUCAGCUCGUGUCGUGAGAUGUUGGGUUAAGUCCCGCAACGAGCGCAACCCUUGAUCUUAGUUGC